Molecule: ribosomal RNA, 164 nt
Filed under: Rubus lambertianus var. glaber
Lineage: Eukaryota; Viridiplantae; Streptophyta; Magnoliopsida; Rosales; Rosaceae
Description: 5.8S ribosomal RNA
Rfam family: 5.8S ribosomal RNA
About the family: 5.8S ribosomal RNA (5.8S rRNA) is a component of the large subunit of the eukaryotic ribosome. It is transcribed by RNA polymerase I as part of the 45S precursor that also contains 18S and 28S rRNA.
Source: RNAcentral
UAAACGACUCUCGGCAACGGAUAUCUCGGCUCUCGCAUCGAUGAAAAACGUAGCGAAAUGCGAUACUUGGUGUGAAUUGCAGAAUCCCGUGAACCAUCGAGUCUUUGAACGCAAGUUGCGCCCGAAGCCAUUAGGCCGAGGGCACGCCUGCCUGGGCGUCACAC